This 253-nucleotide ribosomal RNA is filed under the name uncultured bacterium. RNAcentral describes it as "partial 16S ribosomal RNA". It matches the Rfam family "Bacterial small subunit ribosomal RNA", at positions 524 to 776 of the family's 1533-position model. The record is from RNAcentral.
UACGUAGGGGGCAAGCGUUGUCCGGAUUUAUUGGGCGUAAAGAGCGUGUAGGCGGCCAGACAGGUCCGUUGUGAAAACUCGAGGCUCAACCUCGAGACGCCGAUGGAAACCGUCUGGCUAGAGUCCGGAAGAGGAGAGUGGAAUUCCUGGUGUAGCGAUGAAAUGCGCAGAUAUCAGGAAGAACACCCGUGGCUAAGGCGGCUCUCUAGUACGGUACUGACGCAGAGACGCGAAAGCGUGGGGAGCGAACAGG